This 204-nucleotide small RNA is filed under the name Cavia aperea (Brazilian guinea pig). Its description in RNAcentral is "7SK RNA (ENSCAPG00000002256.1)". Lineage: Eukaryota; Metazoa; Chordata; Mammalia; Rodentia; Caviidae. The record is from RNAcentral.
UCCCUCCCAAAGCUACAUGCUCCCUUGCUCCCUCAAAGAGGAUGGCGACCCUAGAUGGAGAAGGAUGAUUUCCUCAGGUCAAGUGUAUGCGAGUAGUUGUACUCCUGUGCUAUAAGCUCUGAAUGAGCACUCAAGAAAUAAGUGCUGUUUUUCAGGGAUUUAAACAAUUAAAAUAUAUAUACAUAUAUAUACUAUAUAUACUAU